Molecule: ribosomal RNA, 445 nt
Filed under: uncultured bacterium
Lineage: Bacteria
Description: bacterial SSU rRNA
Rfam family: Bacterial small subunit ribosomal RNA
Source: RNAcentral
CCUACGGGAGGCUGCAGUGGGGAAUAUUGGGCAAUGGACGCAAGUCUGACCCAGCGACGCCGCGUGCGGGAUGAAGGCCUUCGGGUUGUAAACCGCUUUCAGCAGGGAAGAAGCGAAAGUGACGGUACCUGCAAAAGAAGCACCGGCUAACUAUGUGCCAGCAGCCGCGGUAAUACAUAGGGUGCAAGCGUUGUCCGGAAUUAUUGGGCGUAAAGAGCUCGUAGGUUGUUAGUUACGUCGGAUGUGAAAUUUUGGGGCUCAACCCCGAACCUGCAUUCGAUACGGGCUGACUAGAGUUUGGUAGGGGAGACUGGAAUUCCUGGUGUAGCGGUGGAAUGCGCAGAUAUCAGGAGGAACACCAAUGGCGAAGGCAGGUCUCUGGGCCAAUACUGACACUGAGGAGCGAAAGCGCGGGGAGCGAACAGGAUUAGAUACCCGUGUAGUC